RNAcentral lists this transfer RNA (75 nucleotides) under Candidatus Omnitrophota bacterium. RNAcentral describes it as "Candidatus Omnitrophica bacterium tRNA-Glu". It matches the Rfam family "tRNA". From Rfam's summary of the family: Transfer RNA (tRNA) molecules are approximately 80 nucleotides in length. Their secondary structure includes four short double-helical elements and three loops (D, anti-codon, and T loops). Further hydrogen bonds mediate the characteristic L-shaped molecular structure. tRNAs have two regions of fundamental functional importance: the anti-codon, which is responsible for specific mRNA codon recognition, and the 3' end, to which the tRNAs corresponding amino acid is attached (by aminoacyl-tRNA synthetases). tRNAs cope with the degeneracy of the genetic code in two manners: having more than one tRNA (with a specific anti-codon) for a particular amino acid; and 'wobble' base-pairing, i.e. permitting non-standard base-pairing at the 3rd anti-codon position. Lineage: Bacteria; Pseudomonadati; Candidatus Omnitrophota. The record is from RNAcentral.
GGCCCCAUCGUCUAGCCUGGUCUAGGACACAAGAUUUUCAUUCUUGCAACACGGGUUCAAAUCCCGUUGGGGUCA